This 400-nucleotide ribosomal RNA is filed under the name uncultured bacterium. RNAcentral describes it as "bacterial SSU rRNA". It matches the Rfam family "Bacterial small subunit ribosomal RNA", at positions 30 to 429 of the family's 1533-position model. The record is from RNAcentral.
AUUGAACGCUGGCGGCAUGCCUUACACAUGCAAGUCGAACGGCAGCACGGGAGCUUGCUCCUGGUGGCGAGUGGCGAACGGGUGAGUAAUAUAUCGGAACGUACCCUAGAGUGGGGGAUAACGCAGCGAAAGUUGCGCUAAUACCGCAUACGAUCUACGGAUGAAAGUGGGGGAUCGCAAGACCUCAUGCUCAUGGAGCGGCCGAUAUCUGAUUAGCUAGUUGGUGGGGUAAAGGCCUACCAAGGCAUCGAUCAGUAGCUGGUCUGAGAGGACGACCAGCCACACUGGAACUGAGACACGGUCCAGACUCCUACGGGAGGCAGCAGUGGGGAAUUUUUGGACAAUGGGGGGCAACCCUGAUCCAGCAAUGCCGCGUGAGUGAAGAAGGCCUCGGUGUAAG